This is a ribosomal RNA of Prolemur simus (greater bamboo lemur), 133 nucleotides long. Lineage: Eukaryota; Metazoa; Chordata; Mammalia; Primates; Lemuridae. The record is from Ensembl.
GUCUAUGGCCAUACCACCCUGAACACGCCCGAUCUCGUCUGAUCUCAGAAGCUAAGCAGGGUUGGGCCUGGUUAGUACUUGGAUGGGAGACAAUACAUACACAUGGCAGGAAAUUUAAAAGGUGCACAAGAGC